GUGGGUAUAGCUCACUGGUAGAGUGUGUGCCUAGCACGUACAAGGUCCUGGGUUCAAUCCUUAGUAUCAUUG
Molecule: transfer RNA, 72 nt
Filed under: Camelus bactrianus (Bactrian camel)
Lineage: Eukaryota; Metazoa; Chordata; Mammalia; Artiodactyla; Camelidae
Also listed under: 2 other names
Rfam family: tRNA
About the family: Transfer RNA (tRNA) molecules are approximately 80 nucleotides in length. Their secondary structure includes four short double-helical elements and three loops (D, anti-codon, and T loops). Further hydrogen bonds mediate the characteristic L-shaped molecular structure. tRNAs have two regions of fundamental functional importance: the anti-codon, which is responsible for specific mRNA codon recognition, and the 3' end, to which the tRNAs corresponding amino acid is attached (by aminoacyl-tRNA synthetases). tRNAs cope with the degeneracy of the genetic code in two manners: having more than one tRNA (with a specific anti-codon) for a particular amino acid; and 'wobble' base-pairing, i.e. permitting non-standard base-pairing at the 3rd anti-codon position.
Source: Rfam by way of RNAcentral